RNAcentral lists this unclassified non-coding RNA (253 nucleotides) under uncultured Cytophagales bacterium. RNAcentral describes it as "contains 16S-23S intergenic spacer region". It matches the Rfam family "Bacterial small subunit ribosomal RNA", at positions 524 to 776 of the family's 1533-position model. The record is from RNAcentral. Lineage: Bacteria; Pseudomonadati; Bacteroidota; Sphingobacteriia; Sphingobacteriales.
UACGGAGGGUGCAAGCGUUGUCCGGAUUUAUUGGGUUUAAAGGGUGCGUAGGCGGGAUAUUAAGUCAGUGGUGAAAGCCCACAGCUCAACUGUGGAACUGCCGUUGAUACUGGUAUUCUUGAGUAUAGAUGAGGCAGGCGGAAUUUACGAUGUAGCGGUGGAAUGCAUAGAUAUCGUAAAGAACACCUAUAGCGAAGGCAGCUUGCUAAACUAUAACUGACGCUGAGGCACGAAAGCAUGGGUAGCGAACAGG